AAGUAUAAUUGAAAGAAUAAUCAACACAAUCAAGUUUACUUGGGUCUUUGUUCAAGCAUUGCUAGAUGAUACUACAGAGGCACUAAACUCACUCUGUAAAAAUAACCUGGACAUAGCCAAUGUACUGAGAAUUGAAAGGUGCAUGCUAUGGCGAGAAAUUAAUAAGGGAAAAGAAGCCUCACCAGACACAAUUCUCCAAUAUUACAACUGGAAGAAGAGUCAGCAAGUGCAAGCAAGUCCUUAUGGAGGAAAUAAAAUGAAAGGCACCCAGGAGGAUCAGCAGAUACCCAGGAGGGGAACCCAGCUACCGCAUGAGAGCAGUGUAUCCAGGACACCUGAUGAAGUUGCUGAGGAAAUUAAUGGAGAUGAGGCAGGAGAGAAGAGGGAAGAUGAAGACAGCAUCAAAGAAGCUGCCCCAGAAAUGACGACUCCACUUCCUUUCUGUGAAACAAAAGAUUAUGCUGUUUCCCCAUCAGCUGAGAGGAGCAAAGAAGCAGGCAGGCCAUUAAAUGAAGUUCCUGCUAUCAUGACUGCCAGUGAGCUGCUUC
This 548-nucleotide long non-coding RNA is filed under the name Gopherus agassizii (Agassiz's desert tortoise). Its description in RNAcentral is "lncRNA (ENSGAGG00000012609.1)". The record is from RNAcentral. Lineage: Eukaryota; Metazoa; Chordata; Testudines; Testudinidae.